Molecule: long non-coding RNA, 923 nt
Organism: Triticum aestivum (bread wheat)
Lineage: Eukaryota; Viridiplantae; Streptophyta; Magnoliopsida; Poales; Poaceae
Exons: 4
Source: RefSeq, a predicted model, not a curated record
GACCCUACUACCGCCAUCCUGACCAGAUCUAGCCCAAAUACCUUGUGCUUUGACCCUAGCCUCCACCGACCACCCUCCGCCGCCCCACCCCAGCAGCCCUCAACUACCCAUCGCACCAACCUCCUCCGCCGCCGACGACCACCGCUGCCGACGAGCAACCUCCUCCGCCGCCGUCAAGUACCAUCGUCCGCAGAUCUGAUCCGCCCUCCGCCACAUCCCUAGCGCCGCCCAAAUGUCGCCGCUCCUGCCAUGCUUUCUCCCUGGGCUGCAACAUCUCCUUGCACCUCUCCCAAACUGCCGAGAUGGGCGUGCAGCGAGAUAGGUUUGGCGCCGUCGGCCCCUCCUGGUCGUCCUCCUCCUGUGCAUGCUCCUCCGCCCCUGGUCACGUCAUGCUCUCCAGCUCGUCGUCCUUCAUCCGUACUACCCCAGUUCAUGCUCCUCCGGCCUCCCCUUCUUGUACUUCGAGCCCAAGAAUCAUAAGUUAAUAGAUGUUGGUGUCUCAGAAUGACAGGAGAUAGGAGACACUGUAGGUUGGCUGCGUCCUGGUGCUGCUUUUGCCUAAUAUGGAUUCAAUUAAUUGAGGUUGGCAUCGUCACUGCAAGAUGUUUCUACAUGAUAGUAGUUGUACCAGUCAACUUGGAUGUCUAUGUAAUGGUUCUUUUUACAGUAAUACCUUCAAAGCAUUGCAAGCUCAUGCCUCUUCUGCUGGAGACAUGUGGCCAUCUUCGAAUAAUAUAAUAUCACAGGAUGGUUGCAACCAUGUGCUGAGCUUAAGCCAUGUGUGUACCAUAGUUUGAAGACUUGAAAUCUUAUCGACUUAUGUAAAGUUUGUUUACCGCUGUAGCUGGUUGCUACUGAACGCAUGUAUGGAUGUUGAAGUAUUGCUUCUUUCAGUCUAAAAAUAUUUGUGAAGUUCAAGGUUU